CCAGGAUGUUGGCUUAGAAGCAGCCACUCAUUAAAAGAGUGCGUAAUAGCUCACUGGUCGAGUGACUCUGCGCCGAAAAUUCAACGGGGCUAAACGUGUAACCGAAGCUUGGGAUUUCAUUCACUGAACAAUGCUUUUUGUCAGGCAGGAGGGAAAGAUUUGCUGCCGAAGGCAGCUAAAUUCCCAAAAGCAAACGAGAGAGAAAGUAUUGGUCAGUGAAUGAAAUGGUAGGGGAGCGUCGUAUACGGGGUGAAGUAUGAGCGAAAGCGCAUGUGGACUGUAUACGAGUGAGAAUGCCGGAAUGAGUAGCGAGAAAUAUGUGAGAAUCAUAUUGGCCGAAAGUCUAAGGUUUCCGGAGGAAGGUUCGUCCGCUCCGGGUAAGCCGGGAGCUAAGGUGAGGCCGGAAGGCGUAGCCGAUGCACAUACGGUAGAGAUUCCGUAGCUGCCGGAGGAUUUAAGCAGAGGGACACUGUCAAAGGGUAUGACCCGGGCGUUGGUAGCCCCGGGCGAAAGGGACUGAAAUAUAGUAGGGAAGCAUACUUGGCGGCAGGCGAGAAAAGCUCUGUGAAUAUCUGAGGCACCCGUACCGCAAACCGACACAGGUAGACAGGAAGAGAAUUCUAAGGCCAACGGGAGAAGGGUUGUUAAGGAACUCGGCAAGUUGACCCCGUAACUUAGGGAAAAGGGGUGCUCCUGAAAGGGAGCCGCAGAGAAUAGGUCCAGGCGACUGUUUAGCAAAAACACAGCUCUAUGCUAAAUCGAAAGAUGACGUAUAUGGGGUGACACCUGCCCGGUGCCGGAAGGUUAAGAGGAGGAGUGAGAGCUCUGAAUUGAAGCCCCGGUAAACGGCGGCCGUAACUAUAACGGUCCUAAGGUAGCGAAAUUCCUUGUCAGGUAAGUUCUGACCCGCACGAAUGGUGUAACGAUCUGGACACUGUCUCAACAGCCCGCCCGGCGAAAUUGUAGUACCGGUGAAGAUGCCGGUUACCCGCGACAAGACGGAAAGACCCCAUGGAGCUUUACUGCAGCUUAAUAUUGGAUUUCGGUAUUUCAUGUACAGGAUAGGUGGGAGGCAGAGAAGGCAGCACGCCAGUGUUGCUGGAGCCGACGUUGGGAUACCACUCUUGAGGUGCUGAAAUUCUAACCUGCGGCCGUGAAUCCGGUCGGGGGACAGUGUUAGGCGGGCAGUUUGACUGGGGCGGUCGCCUCCAAAAAGGUAACGGAGGCGCUCAAAGGUUGGCUCAGCAUGGACGGAAACCAUGCCAAAGAGUGUAAACGCAAAAGCCAGCCUAACUGCGAGAGCGACAGUUCGAGCAGUAACGAAAGUUGGAGUUAGUGAUCCGGUGGUAUGUGAGUGGAAAUGCCAUCGCUCAACGGAUAAAAGCUACCCUGGGGAUAACAGGCUGAUCUCCCCCAAGAGUCCACAUCGUCGGGGAGGUUUGGCACCUCGAUGUCGGCUCAUCGCAUCCUGGGGCUGAAUUCGGUCCCAAGGGUUUGGCUGUUCGCCAAUUAAAGCGGUACGCGAGCUGGGUUCAGAACGUCGUGAGAC
This 1549-nucleotide ribosomal RNA is filed under the name gut metagenome. RNAcentral's name for it is "bacterial LSU rRNA". It matches the Rfam family "Bacterial large subunit ribosomal RNA", at positions 1093 to 2627 of the family's 2925-position model. The record is from RNAcentral.